AUUAUUUCUUCAGUGUUAUUGUUUUCGGAGCCACAUUCUGUUGCUUAUUUGCUAGAACUAAUCAAUCAAAGGGCACCAUUCUUUUCUUUUUUUUUUUGUUUUUGAAACCAAAGCUGUCUCAGAAAUGGCCAAUUUAACUCUACAGUAACAAUAGACAGCACAACACAAACUCAAUACAGAUAACCUUUCACAUACUGGAGAUAUAUAUAAUAGAUAUAUGAAAUUAUUUUAAUGCAUUGUAGUGUAAUAUUUAUGCAUACUCUACUAUAUAACAUGUUAUUCAAAAGGGAUAUGCCAUUUCUGAGACACAAUAACAAAAAAUGUUUGAGGAAAUUAUUUUGCUUCUAUUUAUAGCCUCUGUCAAAAGUCAAAAGACUAUAAAUGCUUUGCAGAAAUGGGUUCACGUUUGCGUAAAUGCUUCAUCACAGUCACAUUCAAAAUAGUGACUCUAAACCAAGAGAACAGCACUGUCAUCAGAUGCAUGAUAAACCAAAAUAUGAAAAUGGGAAAUGUUUAAUUAACCUAGUAAUUGGGUGGGUUAAGUACAUGGGUGAAUUUUAUAUGUGAUUCUUUUGUUCAGAUUAACUGCUUAUAGCCUUAGAAAGCCUUUUAAAAAUUUUAAAAUAGAUGUGCAUUCAGUUUUUAAGAAUGGAUUCAUCCAAAGGAAUUCCCCUUUUUGUGGUUUGGAUGUUACAGCUAGUAAAGGAUAUUUUUGCUCUGCUCAGCAGUUCUAGAAAUCGCUGAGUAGGGGCCAGGUCACUGGCAGUGCUAGUGUGGGAUGGGAGAGGUGAGAGUUCUGUUAUAGAACUUUCCAUACUCCCAAGUUUACUGCAAGUUUUUACGCUUGAGAGAGACGCUUUCUAAUAUAAGACUGAUGUGUUGAUUUUACUGAUUGUACUGUACAUCUAUUAAAGCCUUAGAUUAUUACAUUACGGGUUGGAACCCAUACCAAUGUAAUUUCAAUCGUGUUAAGAGAGUAAUGGUGACUUCACAUGUUAUUGUAGUUAGUUACAUUAUAGAAUAUUACUUAUUUUUCUUGUUAAAAUGUAGUUUUUCAUUUCCUACAUUUCUUAGAUUUUCAUUUUCUAUUAACAGUUGAAUACCAUUUCAGUUUUUAGAUUAUUGUUUUAUUAGAUUUUACCAAUGAAUUUUUCAAAAUACAAAAAAAUUAAAGUAGUUUUUCUUCAUAACAUAAUCAGUUUUAAAUUACAUGUAGUGUCAUAUGAAUAUCCAUAUUAUUGUCAACUAAAUGAUUUAUAUUUUACUGAUUUAAUAUUACAGUGUAAGAAUGUCAGUCAUUGUUCUUGUCUAGUUUUCAUUAAAAGAACAAAGAUCUUUUAUAUGGAUAUCUUAUAAAUAUAUAAUCAUUGCUAAGUAAGAAGUUAAGUUGUUGCUAUGGCAACAAUCCUGGCAGACAAUUGAGUAAUAUUUUGAUGAUUUAUUUUGUUUGUAAUUAGUUAUUAUGAGAAGAUCUAGAUCCUAGAUAUUAGAAUAAAAUUUAUUUUCUACUGUAUCCAUUUCAAAUGUUAAAGUAUUGUUUAAUAUUUUUGAAAUCCCUGAAUAUCAGGCCUUGUUAUAAAUAAGCUGCAUAAUCAAUAAAUAGAACAAGGGACGUUUUGUUGAUAAUCCAAAUACUCAAAGUUUACGUGAGGAGAAUUUUAGCGUGUGUGCAAACUCUUGAGGGUUGAUGAUGCUGCAAUUUAGCAUGUUGGGAAGUCUAGAGAGAAGGUUGACUUUUUGCACUUCUGUAUAUAGUCAAAAGAGAGAAACCUGUAUAAUAGCAAGAUCUUAUUUUGAAUAAAAACGUCUAUAAUUACCAGGAGUUUUGUUAAGGCUAAUGAAAUGACAGACUGAGCAAAAUUGCUUGCAAAAGUGGCACAGAGUUAGCACUCCAUACCCUUCAAACACGUUGCUUUGCUUUUGUGGACAGCUUGUAGUUUGCCAGGAUUUUCCAGCUGGAAAGAUUUGCCAUCCUUCCGAGAUCUCAUGACUGACAAAACUCCAUUGGGCCAAAUCUGCCUGAAGAUCAUUACCAAAAAAUAGCAGGUACUUCAGUCACUAAGAUGAAAUCGUGGAUCAGAUAUUCCUUACAUUGUUUUCAAAUCUACUGCAUGUUUAAAACUUCAACAAAAAGAGAGAAAGAACUAUGCUAAGGACAUAUAUUAUUCAGAUCGAUAUCUACCAAUUUCAAUGGUUUAAUGUUCACAAAAUGAAAUCUUCAAAACAACUAUUGACUUUCACAAAAUGUAAACCAUAAGCAGGCAGACCAGACAGCACACCUGUAGUCCUUCUGUGGUUGUUUUAACCGCUUUAGAGCUUGUUCUUUCCGCAGGUGAAAACAAACUCCAAAUUUCACAGUUUUAAUUUCCAACUCAGAGCACUCAAAAGAGCAAAAUGUGACAAUGGCCACUUGUUUAAUGACCUGGUUGCCCAGCUGCCCCUCCAGCUGGCUACUGAUGUUGCACUUACCAGCAACCCACACUUUCAUCUGCUGAAAGGACAAUGUGCUCGGCUUUACUAUUAUGUAAUCACAACUUACUUUGCUUGUAGUUGCUUACAAUUAUGUAUUCUGUCUAGGGCUGCGAUUUGUUUUAUGCUUACUUUAUUAUUACUGCAGUAGUUGACUUUGCUGUAUGGAAAAAUAAAGUGAAAUUGCCCUAAUAAAACUUCUCUUUCUUAAGUAUAUUUGUG
Molecule: long non-coding RNA, 2691 nt
Filed under: Rattus norvegicus (Norway rat)
Lineage: Eukaryota; Metazoa; Chordata; Mammalia; Rodentia; Muridae
Description: long non-coding RNA NONRATT015322
Source: RNAcentral